RNAcentral lists this ribosomal RNA (322 nucleotides) under uncultured Actinomycetes bacterium. RNAcentral's name for it is "bacterial SSU rRNA". It matches the Rfam family "Bacterial small subunit ribosomal RNA", at positions 28 to 351 of the family's 1533-position model. Lineage: Bacteria; Bacillati; Actinomycetota; Actinomycetes. The record is from RNAcentral.
GACGAACGCUGGCGGCGUGCUUAACACAUGCAAGUCGAGCGGUAAGGCUCCUUCGGGAGUACACGAGCGGCGAACGGGUGAGUAACACGUGAGCAAUCUGCCCUUCACUUUGGGAUAACUUUCGGAAACGGAAGCUAAUACCGAAUACAACCAUUACAGACAUCUGUUGAUGGUGGAAAGUUCCGGCGGUGAAGGAUGAGCUCGCGGCCUAUCAGCUAGUUGGUGAGGUAACGGCCCACCAAGGCGACGACGGGUAGCCGGCCUGAGAGGGUGACCGGCCACACUGGGACUGAGACACGGCCCAGACUCCUACGGGAGGCUG